RNAcentral lists this ribosomal RNA (810 nucleotides) under uncultured bacterium. RNAcentral's name for it is "bacterial SSU rRNA". It matches the Rfam family "Bacterial small subunit ribosomal RNA", at positions 61 to 865 of the family's 1533-position model. The record is from RNAcentral.
GUCGAACGGUAACAGGGAGCUUGCUCCGCUGACGAGUGGCGAACGGGUGAGUAAUGUAUCGGAACGUACCAUUGAGUGGGGGAUAACGUAGCGAAAGUUACGCUAAUACCGCAUAUUCUCUCCGGAGGAAAGCAGGGGACCGCAAGGCCUUGCGCUCUUUGAGCGGCCGAUAUCAGAUUAGCUAGUUGGUGGGGUAAAAGCUCACCAAGGCGACGAUCUGUAGCGGGUCUGAGAGGAUGAUCCGCCACACUGGAACUGAGACACGGUCCAGACUCCUACGGGAGGCAGCAGUGGGGAAUUUUGGACAAUGGGGGCAACCCUGAUCCAGCCAUGCCGCGUGAGUGAAGAAGGCCUUCGGGUUGUAAAGCUCUUUCGGCCGGGAAGAAAUCGUAUCAGCUAAUACCUGGUGCGGAUGACGGUACCGGCAUAAGAAGCACCGGCUAACUACGUGCCAGCAGCCGCGGUAAUACGUAGGGUGCGAGCGUUAAUCGGAAUUACUGGGCGUAAAGCGCGCGCAGGCGGUUUUGUAAGACAGGCGUGAAAUCCCCGGGCUCAACCUGGGAACUGCGUUUGUGACUGCAAGGCUAGAGUACGGCAGAGGGGGGUGGAAUUCCACGUGUAGCAGUGAAAUGCGUAGAGAUGUGGAGGAACACCAAUGGCGAAGGCAGCCCCCUGGGUCGAUACUGACGCUCAUGCACGAAAGCGUGGGUAGCAAACAGGAUUAGAUACCCUGGUAGUCCACGCCCUAAACGAUGUCAACUAGGUGUUGGGAGGGUAAAACCUUUUAGUACCGGAGCUAACGCGUGAAGU